UUCGCCGCCAUUUUCUUUCGGCCGCAAAUAGGAAGGUUGAAACAGCCCCAAGGAGAGCAUUCCGAGCAGGAGCGCUACCCGUUGCUGCUGCUCUUGAGAACCUUCGCUCUAUUUUGCCACCUGCCGAGGAGGAAUUCAUACCAAUUUUUUUUUUUUUUUUUAAUUAAUUAUUAUUUGAUACCUGCUUGAGAAAGGACUUCACCCUCCUCCCCCCUCUCCCCCCCCUCCCGCCUCUCUUUUUUUUGGGAUACAAGAGUGGAGGCAUUUUGAUUAUUUUCCUCCCCUCUCUCUCUCUCUCUCUCCCUCCCCAGUUUUCUUGGGAAAAAUGACGCUAAAUCCCCAGUUUCAGCAGAUCGGCGAGAGUUUCGUGAAGCAGUACUACUUAAUCUUCGACGGAGACCGCGAAGGAAGAGAGAAAUUGGUGAACUUUUAUCACGCAGAGUUAUCGUUAAUGUCCUUUGAAGGAGUACAAGUACAAGGUGCUGCUCAGAUUAUAGAGAAGAUUAAGGGUUUGAGCUUCAACAAAAUUGCGAGAGCAAUCACCACAGUGGACUGUCAACCAACCUUUGAUGGAGGCGUUAUGGUUAACAUUCUAGGGCAGCUAAAGAUGGACGACGACCCUCCUCACGGGUUCAAUCAGACGUUUGUGCUCAAGCCCCUUGGCGACAGUUUCUUCGUCCAGCAUGACUUCUUUCGCCUGGCCCUUCAUCACAUUGCCAUAUGAACAUUGGUGCGAGGUGCCAGGCAAGGAUGAGGCAAAUGCGCCAUAGUCACUCCUCUGCUGCAUCUCUCUCUUAUGGAUGAAGACCCAGUGCAUGGAUUCUCGCAAACGUUCGUUCUCAAGCCCAUGAACGACUCUUUCUUCAUCCAGCACGAUUCUUUCCGCCUGGUCAUCCACAAUCAAUAAGCCAUCAUAUAAUAAUAAUAAUAUUGUCAGCCACUGUCCAAUCUCUGACAAGUCUCCCCAAAAAGCCUUGUCAGCCAUAGUCUGUUGGUAAAAAUUUUAAUGUGCUACUUGCAGUUAUUUGCAUUUUAUGACAUUGUCAGGGAUGUGUUUCUUCAUGUUUUUUGAAUGAAAUGAUGAUUAUUUUUUAGUUUUUAGAGGGUUGCUUCCCAGGCAGUUAUCAUGGAAAGAAAAUGUCGUAUUCCUUUAAUUUUUGAAUGUAAUUGGUUUGGUUAGAAAGUAAAUGAAGUUCCUUUGUACUGGACCUCUUUCAGCUAUUAUUAGAUGUUGGAAAUGCAAUAUUCUUAAGUUUAAAAGGAUUCAUUGUAAUCAAAGCUGCUGUAACUUUCUUGAUUAAAAAAAAAAAAUGUUCAUUAAAAAGCAAAAAAACAAAAUGCAUAUGGCAUGCUAAGAAUUUUUGAUGUCAGGAAAUCACAUAUUGUGAGUGUUUAAGCCCCAUGUGAAGUUUACGCUUAAAUAGUGUCCCUUAUUGGGAUUACUCAUUGCUUUGUUGUAAGGUGCAGAAGCGAUUCAUGAAACAGCAAAUGUUUUGAUAGCAUUUUUUUUUUUCAUUACCCCCAUUUUACACUGCGAACAUCCGUGCUUUUUACCUAUGUUGAAGUUCCUCAUGAUGAUUGUUAUAGCAAGGAUGGUGUUGCAACCAUAGUGGAAGAACAGCUGAUAUUCAGUCUUGCUGCUGCACUGUCUUGCCCCCCAAAAAAACAUAAAAAAAAAAAAAAAAAAAAAGGUUAUUGUCGUGGGUCCUUUUGUUUUUUUCCUAUUCGUUUCUUUAAUGAUAUACUAAGUAUUUACAUGAAUGUAAGUCUUGACAACUGAUGUGAUAAGGUUCACGGUGAUAGGUGAUUUUGCCAGAGAACAUACAUGUGUAAGUGCAAGUUAUUCUUCUUUGAUAGCUCAACUUACUUCUGUAUUAGAAUAUAGUCUUAAAGGAGGAAUGAACUGUGAAGAGCUUAACCAAAUUUGAUGAACUGGACUUUUACAUGACUUUAUUUCCUCGAGGUCUGGCCAGUAAACCAAAGGGAAAUAAGGCCUUUUUUUCUUUUUCUUUCUUCUCUUUCUCUGGUCAGAUUUUUGCAAAAAGAUCAACAUGUGUUUGAUUAAAGAUAUUCUUACA
This 2078-nucleotide unclassified non-coding RNA is filed under the name Penaeus monodon (black tiger shrimp). Its description in RNAcentral is "probable nuclear transport factor 2, transcript variant X2". The record is from RNAcentral. Lineage: Eukaryota; Metazoa; Arthropoda; Malacostraca; Decapoda; Penaeidae.